Molecule: long non-coding RNA, 596 nt
Organism: Thalassophryne amazonica
Lineage: Eukaryota; Metazoa; Chordata; Actinopteri; Batrachoidiformes; Batrachoididae
Exons: 4
Source: RefSeq, a predicted model, not a curated record
AGAUUUUAAUCACACUUUUGUCAGGAGUCUUUGUCUUUGAUUGCAAGUCUGUGCUGUAAGUCUGACUGUAAUUUUAUUUUAUUCUUCAAGUGCUGUGGGGAGACGCCGUAUGGUUUGGCUCAAAGUGGAGUUCUCUGCUGCAACAGUAAGCUACACGCCGGCGUAAAUGACACGCAGCGAUGUGCAGAGGCCAGCUUUGAUUACGACGCAGCUACGUAUACGGUUUGCUGCUCGAAGGUACACCGGCCAGCCGGGCAGCACUGCUGCGGCACAGACGUCUACGAUCCUCACACUCAGAUCUGCUGCAGCGGAUGCAAGCAUCCCAAAGGCAGAAACAUUCAUUGCUGUGGACGUCAGGCCUACAACAUUAGCAACCCGUUGAUCAAGUGCUGUUCUGAGACGCUGCACGACCUGACAAAUUUAGACGAACAUAAACGUGAUGCGCAGUGUUGUGGAUCUAUUCUGAAAGACCCAGCGGUGAAGAUUUAAAGAGGUCAGUGAACAGGUGAAUGCUGCUUGAGUGAGGAGAUGGAGCUGUUGUACAGGACCAAGCCAAAGCACCAGUGCUGCGGACACAAGUACUAUAACACAUCUCU